RNAcentral lists this unclassified non-coding RNA (3210 nucleotides) under Hevea brasiliensis (rubber tree). Lineage: Eukaryota; Viridiplantae; Streptophyta; Magnoliopsida; Malpighiales; Euphorbiaceae. The record is from RNAcentral.
UAAUAAUAAUAAAAAUAAAAGAAAGGAAAAGAUUUUGGGCUAUUGGGGAAUGCUCUAGAAACCUGUAAAGAAGAAAAGUAAUAGGAAAAGGAAUUUAAAAAAAUGGAAAAGGUUAGCUAGGAAGAGGAAUCGAGAAUUGGAAACAGAGGAGAGGUAAUUGCAGCAGCUGACCAACCCUUCAAUUUCUAGCCAAAUCCCAUCCUUACCAACAACUUUUCAUCUCUAACAGCAGCCCCAUGAUGGAAGAAACCGGUCACCAUUUUCUCCUCUUUACAGAACGCAAGAGAAGGAGAAAGAGGAGCCACAACUGCUCUCAACGAUCCAGCAGUAUCUUGUGAGAAUUUCACCCACUCUUAGUGAUUUUGGUCUAUUUGAGGCUGCAACAGCCACUCCUAAACUCCCUUGUUGCUUCAAUUAGAGUUGAUUUCAUCCAUUUCAACCAAACAGCAAAAUAGAAACAGGAAAUAGAAGAGCUAUUGUUGCUGUCCCUCUUGGAUUUUGGCAUUUUCAAUGCCGUUAGAGCCAACCAGCAACAUCCCUGGCCUCCUUCAACCGUUAUUGAAUGCUCCCAUUACCCCCAGUCAAAACUAGCAGUUGAAUGAAAGGGUAGUUAAUUGAGAUUUCAUUCCUUGGUUAAGUUUUUAGUCCAACCAAGACCAAUAAUCAAACCCACUUCAUUUCCUAGUCCUAAUAAGUUCUAACUUGAAAUUGUUUAAGCUGAAAUUGUGUAAGCUAAGUAUGAAAGAGGGUAAAGGGAGAGGGAAAAUAUUGGUACACGAGUGACAUAGGGUGGUAAUACGAAGGCAGCGUGUGAUGGCCAUCCCAAAUUCUGCUGUUCUUCUAUUUUCAGUAUUUUUCAGCUGCAAUUGGUAUUGGGUAAGUGAUAUCUUGUUGUAGUUUUCCCCUUUAAUGUUAAAUUAAAUGCCAAUCUAUUUUCAUGUAAAUGUAGAAUUUGUUGGUUAAAUAAUAUGAGUGAACUCUAGUCAAUUUUCAUAUUGGGAAUAAGAACUUAAUUAGUAUAAAUGAAUGUACAUAUCUUCCUAUGUACAAUGGAUGAACUUUGUUUUGAAAUCUGAUAUUUCAUUUUGUGUUAAGAAUGAGAGGACAAUUCGAAUUUUGGAUCAUCACAGAUAGCCCAUGGAAUUGUAAUUUUGAAAGGAAAAGAAAGGAAUAUUAAAAUGAAAUGUAUGGGGUGUAUAAAAGGGAGAAUAGGGUGGAAGAAUUUAUAUAAUUAUACAGGCCUUGGAUGGGUGUUAUAUUAAAUUAUGUUGUGCCAUUUUUGAGACUCCUUGAAGCUUUGUAAAACUGGGGGAAUGUCCAGCUUAUGCUGGAAUGACGCCAGAAUUUCAUUAGAAUUUUUAGGAGACAAUUCUUGCAUAUUAGGCACUUUGAUAGCAUUUUAGAAUUAUAGCUUCGUUCCUAAACUCCAAUUUUUUGCUAUAAUUCUCUGUAGGAAAUCCUGCUUCAGAUGUAGGUUGUAGGGACAUCUUUGUUGGUUAGAUCGUUCCCUUUCAAUUUGUCUUUGUCUCCAAUACCAGAUUCUUUUGGUGAUCCCAGUUCUAGCAAUGCUUGUCUUCAUAGCUUGUCCUCUCCUCGCUUUGUCAAGUCUAGUGGAGGGCCACUAUAAACAUCACGUCACCGAUCUCUCUUUACAUUGGCAACAUCUAUGAUUAUCUUUUCAUCAAAAGCCUUCAACAUUCGGCCUGUUGUUUCUUGUGCCAAAGCUACACUUACAGAUAAAACAGUUGAUCCAUUUCUACAAUUGGUCAAUGAAAGCAAGUUACAGGCUGUUAACAACCAAAUGGAGCACCCAAGGAAAGUUUAUGGAUCUAAAGAAGAUAAUGAGGAUGCUCUAAAUUCACUUUCAGCCAUAGAAAUAGCAGAAAGUCAAUCAAAAGAAUCAUUUGCUACCAUGAUAGCAAAGUUUAUGGGAACAUCAUCAAAUCAAGAUUCUGCCAUAAGAGAAGAGUUGCUUAAAGAUUUUGUACCAGAUGAUUUAUGCCCACUGGGAGUUGAUUUAUUCAUGGAGAUGCCAGGGGAAAAGUCUGAGCCAGUAUCAGAAGACAAAUAUUCUGAGAAGACCGAGCCCCCACUAUUCACAAUAGAUGAUAGUCCUGUACCUAGUACAUCUGAAGGUCAGAAAGAUCCUGGUGAUCAGCUGGCAUUCGAAUCUACUCCGCUUCUGAGUGUUGGUGAACUUUUAAAUGCAGUUUCAGAAACAACAAAUCAAGUAGGAAGAUUUUCUGUCUCAACCCCACCUGACUUGCCUUAUAUGGAAAUGGCUGGCCAUUGUGAAGCCCUUUCAGCAGGAAAGCAGAAAAAGAUGUCUGCUUUAAUGAGUUCUCAGCAAAGCGUGACUAGAAUAUCUGCUUAUGACCAAAUCCAACCAAUGCUGGCUUAUGAACAUAACCAAGCAAUGCAAAUGCCAUCCAAUUUUCACUUUCUGCAGUGUGGAAACCCAUUCCUUGACCAAAAUUUUGGUCCUAAUUCACUUAACCCAUCUACUCCUGCUGGUCUUUUGCUUUGCGCAACAGAGUAUCAGCAUCUUCAGCACUUCAAGUUGCCAGCUUCUAGUCCCUAUGAUAAUUUUCUCAAGGCUGCUGGAUGUUGAUGCUGUAACUACGAUAGCAGCUCUCAACAAGGCUCAGACUCUGUAUCAGAGUUAGGAAAUCUUGAGUGGUACACUGAGGGUAACGAAGGCUUUAGUCCUCCAUGUUGCUACUGUUUUUUGGAAUCAUAUCAGGUAGGGACCAGCUACCGAUGGAUCAGCAAUUCAUCAUUGCCAUUUUGUUUUGAUAUCAGUUUAGAAAUGAAGAUCAAAUUCAAUGGGAGAGUUAAGAAUGAAGCUCCAGUAGCAUAUUGGAGACAAAAUUUGGGGUUCAUGUUCCUGCUGUGUUGAAAUUUUAGCAUUCAGGUACUAGCAACUAUUGAUGGAUCAGUGAUUUUUUCCUGUCGAUUUCAGUUUGAACAUUUGAUGUCUUCAUUCAUUUAUUCUUUUAUCUUCAUUCUUUGAAGGGGAGGGCUUUUUCCUCUCCCUUCUUUUCUCCCCUUAAAUUGACUUGUAUAUAUAAUGAAUUUUUUGAGUAUUCAUGCUGCUCCUUCAGAUACUGCAAGGAGCUUUUACAGUAAUAUAUUUUUGGUAGAAGUGAAAGUUUGUAUAGUUUGGAUUGUAUAUGAAUGGGAUUACUUUAUGUUAAACUUUGAAUUUAU